CGCGUAGGUGGCUUCGUAAGUCCGUUGUGAAAGUCAAAGGCUCAACCUUUGAAAGCCGAUGGAUACUGCGGGGCUAGAGUACGGAAGAGGCGAGUGGAAUUCCUGGUGUAGCGGUGGAAUGCGCAGAUAUCAGGAGGAACACCAAUAGCGAAGGCAGCUCGCUGGGACGUUACUGACACUGAGGCGCGAAAGCGUGGGGAGCGAACA
Molecule: ribosomal RNA, 207 nt
Filed under: uncultured bacterium
Lineage: Bacteria
Description: partial 16S ribosomal RNA
Rfam family: Bacterial small subunit ribosomal RNA
Source: RNAcentral